GGGCCACAGGCUACUGAGUCUGACCCUGGGGGAGCAGCAGCACAGUGGGGAGGCCCGACGGGGAGAGAAAGGGAGGGAGGGAGGGAGGGAGGGAGGGUAAGGGAGAGAAGAAGGGAGAGAGACGGACGGAGGGAGAAGAGGGAAAGAAAGAGAGGGAGAGAGGGAGGGAGAGCAGGAGGGACACAGCUCUGUGCUGGAACCCCCUGAGCUCCCUCACUCUCUCCUUCCUGGCUGGAGGCUUCUUGGUGUGAGUUAACCUCGGAAGGGCCUCUGCACAUGGGUUUUGGGGCUUGGGUCCUGGGGGAAGCUGCCACAGAUCCCAGCAGCACCUUUGCUCUGGGAAGGCUAACGUUGAUGAGGGCCUCGGUUGGCCUGUCCGUCCAACUGUGCUGGGUGUGGCCCCCGGCUCUCCGGCCCUGGCUGUCAGGUGACUGUGGCAUACAGCCCCCUCGGCAGGGUGCACUGUGCGCCAUCUGUGCCUAGCGGUGAUGGACGUUGCCCAGACAAGCAUAUCGGGAUUCCAGCCGCGAGUGGUUCCCAUGACCUUGCAUCUGCCUGGCAUGUGCCCCUUCCUGGGUCUGCUGUACCCCCUGAGAGGCUGGGGUGUCUCCACUCAGAUCAGAGAUUGCAGAGCAAUGGAGGAAUUGAUCUCUGAAAUUGCUCCUUAAGCCUUCUAAUAGGUCACCAGCCUGUGUAGAUGGGCAAAGUCACACGGAGGAUGUGAGCCGGGUGGGCGGCCCCUGAGGAGAGACAGGCACAGAAAUAGCUGUGGCUCAAGUCACUAGGGACAGGCGCUCACCUGAGGCAAAGGAAGGGAGGAGCAAUCAGGUAGGGCUUCCUGGAGGAAGUGGCUUUGAAAGAUGAAUAGGAACCAGUGGAGAGGACAGAAGUCAUGGGAAGGGCCCAGGGCAGAGCGACGAGGAAGGCCGGCGAGUCUGUGAGUGGUGAGGGCCUCAGGGCCAGCUCCUCUGAGCCUCAAAGGCCAGCGGGCAGAAAUAGAGAGAGAAAUGAGGUCAGAAGAGCUUCUGGUCAGGCGCAGGGCCUCACACCUGUGAUCCCGGCACUGUGGGUGGCAGAGGUGGGAGGAUCAUUUGAAUCCAGGAGUUCUAGACCAGCCUGGGAAACAUAGCAAGACCCCAUGUUUACAUAGUAAAAGAUAGAAAGAUUCACCAGGCAUUGUCGUGUCUAGCUCUAUUAGCAGCUACUCCGGAGGCUGAGGCAGGAGGAUCUCUUGAGCCCAGGAGGUUGAGGCUCCAGUGAGCUGUGUCGCCCCACUGUACUCUAGCCUGGGCGACAGAGUGAGAUCCUGUCUCUAGAAGAACAAAAGCUGAGCUCUCAAAAGAGAUUCCCCAGCACAGGGCAGGCUGCAGGCAGAGGGAGCCUGGGGCUCUUGAUCCUCCGCUGGGGGAGGUCAAGCGUCGCUGGAGUGUGCUUCUC
This 1437-nucleotide long non-coding RNA is filed under the name Papio anubis (olive baboon). Its description in RNAcentral is "lncRNA (ENSPANG00000040867.1)". Lineage: Eukaryota; Metazoa; Chordata; Mammalia; Primates; Cercopithecidae. The record is from RNAcentral.